The sequence is a transfer RNA, 77 nucleotides long. It matches the Rfam family "tRNA". From Rfam's summary of the family: Transfer RNA (tRNA) molecules are approximately 80 nucleotides in length. Their secondary structure includes four short double-helical elements and three loops (D, anti-codon, and T loops).
GCCCUGGUCGCUUAGCCCGGCAGAGCGACUGCCUUGUAAGCAGUAGGUCGCCGGUUCAAAUCCGGCCCAGGGCUCCA